AACACGUAAGAAUCUACCUUUAGGACGGGGAUAACUUCUGGAAACGGAUGCUAAUACCCGAUAUGCUGUGGAGUGAAAGGAAUUUCGCCUAAAGAUGAUCUUGCGUCUGAUUAGCUAGAUAGCGUGGUAAUGGCGCACUAUGGCGACGAUCAGUAGCUGGUCUGAGAGGAUGGACAGCCACAUUGGAACUGAGACACGGUCCAAACUCCUACGGGAGGCAGCAGUGGGGAAUUUUCCGCAAUGGGCGAAAGCCUGACGGAGCGACGCUGCGUGAAGGAUGACGGCCUGCGGGUUGUAAACUUCUUUUCUCGAAGAAGAAUAAAAUGACGGUAUUCGAGGAAUAAGCAUCGGCUAACUCUGAGCCAGCAGCCGCGAUAAGACAGAGGAUGCAAGUGUUAUUCGGAUUGAUUGGGCGUAAAGCGUCUGUAGACGGUUUGGAAAGUCUUUUGUGAAAUUCUUCAGCUCAACUGGGGGUCCGCAAAAGAAACUUCUAGGCUUGAGGGAAGUAGAGGUACAGGGAAUUUCCGGUGGAGCGGUGGAAUGCAUAGAUAUCGGAAGGAACACCAAUAUGGCGAAGGCACUGUACUGGGCUUUACCUGACGCUAAGAGACGAAAGCUAAAGGAGUGAUUAGGAUUAGAUACCCUAGUAAUUUUAGCCGUAAACGAUGGAAACUCACUGCCGAGCCGGUAUUCGGAGCGGUGGUCAAGCUAACGCGUGAAGUUUCCCGCCUGGGGACUACGCAUGCAAAUGUGAAACUCAAAGGAAUUGACGGGGACCCGCACAAGCGGUGGAGUAUGUGGUUUAAUUCGAUGCAACGCGAAAAACCUUACCAAGGUUUGAAAUCAUUUCAAAAUUCUUUGAAAGAAGAGCCUCCUUCGGGAUGGAAUGACAGGUGGUGCAUGGCUGUCGUCAGCUCGUGUUGUGAAAUGUCAAGUUAAGUCUUGUAACGAGCGCAACCCAUGUCUUUUGUUGCUGUUUACAGUGCUUAAAAGAGACUGCCGCUCUACAGCGGAGGAAGGUGUGGAUGAUGUCAAGUCAGCAUGCCCCUUAUAUCUUGGGCUACACACGUACUACAAUGGUAGGGACAAUGAGUCGCAAACCUGCGAAGGCUAGCCAAUCUCAAAAACCCUAUCUCAGUUCGGAUUGUACUCUGCAACUCGAGUGCAUGAAGGUGGAAUCGCUAGUAAUCGCUGGUCAGCAUACAGCGGUGAAUACGUUC
Molecule: ribosomal RNA, 1220 nt
Filed under: uncultured phototrophic eukaryote
Lineage: Eukaryota
Description: bacterial SSU rRNA
Rfam family: Bacterial small subunit ribosomal RNA
Source: RNAcentral